CUGUCAAAGCACGGGCUUAACUCCGUUAAGCCACUGGAAACUGUACCGCUAGAGUUCCCUAGGGUUAGAGCGAAUUCCCGCUGAAUCGCUGAAAUGCGUAGAGAUCGGGAAGAACAUCGCUGGCGAAAGCGCUCUACUGGACGGCAACUGACACUCAGGGACGAAAGCUAGGGGAGCGAAUGGGAUUAGAUACCCCAGUAGUCCUAGCUGUAAACGAUGGAUACUAGGUGUAGCUUGUAUCGACCCGUAGCUGUGCCGAAGCUAACGCGUUAAGUAUCCCGCCUGGGGAGUACGCACGCAUGUGUGAAACUCAAAGGAAUUGACGGGGGCCCGCACAAGCGGUGGAGUAUGUGGUUUAAUUCGAUGCUACGCGAAGAACCUUAACCAGGGCUUGACAUGUCCGGAAUCCCGAUGAAAGCUGGGAGUGCCUUCGGGAGCCGGAACACAGGUGGUGCAUGGCAGUGAUCUAGCUCGUGUCGUAAGAUGUUGGGUUAAGUCCCGCAUCGAGCGCAACCCUAGUCUUUAGUAGCCAGCAAUAAGUUGGGCACUCUAGAGAGACGGCCGGUGACAAACCGGAGGAAGGUGGGGAUGACGUCAAGUCAGCAUGCC
This 609-nucleotide ribosomal RNA is filed under the name uncultured organism. RNAcentral's name for it is "bacterial SSU rRNA". It matches the Rfam family "Bacterial small subunit ribosomal RNA", at positions 592 to 1199 of the family's 1533-position model. The record is from RNAcentral.